UGAGGAAUAUUGGUCAAUGGACGGAAGUCUGAACCAGCCAUGCCGCGUGCAGGAAUAAGGUCCUAUGGAUUGUAAACUGCUUUUAUUUGGGAAUAAACCUCCUUACGUGUAGGGAGCUGAAGGUACCAAAGGAAUAAGCACCGGCUAACUCCGUGCCAGCAGCCGCGGUAAUACGGAGGGUGCAAGCGUUAUCCGGAAUCAUUGGGUUUAAAGGGUCCGCAGGCGGGCUAAUAAGUCAGAGGUGAAAUCCCACAGCUUAACUGUGGAACUGCCUUUGAAACUGUUAGUCUUGAAUUAAGAUGGCGUUGGCGGAAUAGGUCAUGUAUCGGUGAAAUGCAUAGAUAUCGUCACGGACACCGAUAGCGGAGGCAGCCCCCCAGGCCGCCACUGACGCUGAGGCACGAAAGUGCGGGGAUCAAAC
This 421-nucleotide ribosomal RNA is filed under the name uncultured bacterium. RNAcentral describes it as "bacterial SSU rRNA". It matches the Rfam family "Bacterial small subunit ribosomal RNA", at positions 355 to 773 of the family's 1533-position model. The record is from RNAcentral.